UACGUAGGGGGCAAGCGUUAUCCGGAUUUACUGGGUGUAAAGGGAGCGUAGACGGUAAAGCAAGUCUGAAGUGAAAGCCCGCGGCUCAACUGCGGGACUGCUUUGGAAACUGUUUAACUGGAGUGCUGGAGAGGUAAGCGGAAUUCCUAGUGUAGCGGUGAAAUGCGUAGAUAUUAGGAGGAACACCAGUGGCGAAGGCGGCUUACUGGACAGUAACUGACGUUGAGGCUCGAAAGCGUGGGGAGCAAACAGG
This 253-nucleotide ribosomal RNA is filed under the name uncultured bacterium. RNAcentral describes it as "partial 16S ribosomal RNA". It matches the Rfam family "Bacterial small subunit ribosomal RNA", at positions 524 to 776 of the family's 1533-position model. The record is from RNAcentral.